This 599-nucleotide long non-coding RNA is filed under the name Capra hircus (goat). RNAcentral's name for it is "lncRNA (ENSCHIG00000004659.1)". Lineage: Eukaryota; Metazoa; Chordata; Mammalia; Artiodactyla; Bovidae. The record is from RNAcentral.
GGGAGAGAGGGUUUUUGCAACAGCCAGAGAAAGAGAGAAUGAUUUUAAAAUCUCAUCCAAUUCGGUUCAUGAAUGUGAAAUUGAAUUUGCCACCAGAUCCAGGAGGUAAAUCCGGUCUUGCAAACUGGAGGCAGAGAAGGAGGUCAGAAGCUUGAUUAGUCUGAAAGUGGAAUCAGAGGUCCGGGUGUUGGGAGGCUGUUCUCUGGCUGAGGAGGAGAUAACAGAUCAUGCCAACAAGACGGAGGUUUGGACUUGAAGCAAACUUGAGGCGAGAAGGAGCAGCGUGGGUACAGGAAUUCCUGCAGCUUGGCUUUCGCUGGCACCGUUACCACUCCCAGAGAGGAGCGGCUGGAGGUCACGGCUGGUUCCUGACAAACGUCCUAAUUAAUCUGCUGAAGAUCAGAGGAGGACUAAUAGGGGCUGAAGACUGUGUGAGGGGCCCACUCCUCCACCGUUUCGCGGCAUGUGUGCAUGUGUGUGUGUGUGUGUGAGUGUGUGUGCGUGCGUGUUUGUGCACACAUGUGAUGCUGAGCUUGGCAGGAAAGAGAUAGACUCAGCCCUCCAUUCAGCACAAUAGGAUCCCUGCUACUGCCCACCCC